Molecule: non-coding RNA, 110 nt
Organism: Bacidia gigantensis
Lineage: Eukaryota; Fungi; Ascomycota; Lecanoromycetes; Lecanorales; Ramalinaceae
Source: the annotation of a RefSeq genome assembly
CUCAGAUCCCCGUGGCGCAGCGGUUAGCGCGCCGUUCUUAUAUCAAAAUUCCUUCGGGACUUGAUAUGGUAGACAUGCGGAUGUCGCGAGUUCAAAUCUCGCCGGUGAGU